This 252-nucleotide ribosomal RNA is filed under the name uncultured bacterium. Its description in RNAcentral is "partial 16S ribosomal RNA". It matches the Rfam family "Bacterial small subunit ribosomal RNA", at positions 524 to 775 of the family's 1533-position model. The record is from RNAcentral.
UACGGAGGGAGCUAGCGUUGUUCGGAAUUACUGGGCGUAAAGCGUACGUAGGCGGUUAUUCAAGUCAGAGGUGAAAGCCCGGGGCUCAACCCCGGAACUGCCUUUGAAACUAGAUAGCUAGAAUCUUGGAGAGGUCAGUGGAAUUCCGAGUGUAGAGGUGAAAUUCGUAGAUAUUCGGAAGAACACCAGUGGCGAAGGCGACUGACUGGACAAGUAUUGACGCUGAGGUACGAAAGCGUGGGGAGCAAACAG